AGCCACGCAGUGAGUACAUAGCGAACUAUUCUUUCGCCUUUUACUAAAGAAUACCGUGUACGCGCUGCAAUUAGUGGCAUAUGCCAAUUUUUGGAGGGGUUCUCUUCAUUGAGACUC
Solanum lycopersicum (tomato) is the source of this 117-nucleotide non-coding RNA. NCBI's taxonomy places the organism in Eukaryota, Viridiplantae, Streptophyta, Magnoliopsida, Solanales, Solanaceae. The record is from Rfam.